UGUGGUAUCUACCUAUUGGUGACC
Molecule: non-coding RNA, 24 nt
Filed under: Arabidopsis thaliana (thale cress)
Lineage: Eukaryota; Viridiplantae; Streptophyta; Magnoliopsida; Brassicales; Brassicaceae
Source: RNAcentral